RNAcentral lists this unclassified non-coding RNA (344 nucleotides) under soil metagenome. Its description in RNAcentral is "partial contains 5.8S ribosomal RNA, internal transcribed spacer 2, and large subunit ribosomal RNA". The stretch from base 1 to 120 matches the Rfam family "5.8S ribosomal RNA", at positions 35 to 154 of the family's 154-position model. The record is from RNAcentral.
GAUGAAGAACGCAUCGAAAUGCGAUAAGUAAUGUGAAUUGCAGAGUUCAGUGAAUCAUCGAAUCUUUGAACGCACAUUGCGCCCGCCAGUAUUCUGGCGGGCAUGCCUGUUCGAGCGUCAUUUCAACCCUCAAGCCCCCGGGCUUGGUGUUGGGGAUCGGCGUGCCCUCGCGGCGCGCCGUCCCCUAAAUCUAGUGGCGGUCUCGCUGUAGCUUCCUCUGCGUAGUAGCAACACUCGCACUGGAUCGCAGCGCGGCCACGCCGUUAAACCCCCCACUUCUGAAAGUUUGACCUCGGAUCAGGUAGGAAUACCCGCUGAACUUAAGCAUAUCAAUAAGCGGAGGA